Molecule: ribosomal RNA, 657 nt
Filed under: uncultured beta proteobacterium
Lineage: Bacteria; Pseudomonadati; Pseudomonadota; Betaproteobacteria
Description: bacterial SSU rRNA
Rfam family: Bacterial small subunit ribosomal RNA
Source: RNAcentral
GUCGAACGGUAACAGGUCUUCGGAUGCUGACGAGUGGCGAACGGGUGAGUAAUACAUCGGAACGUGCCCGAGAGUGGGGGAUAACGAAGCGAAAGCUUUGCUAAUACCGCAUACGAUCUCAGGAUGAAAGCAGGGGACCGCAAGGCCUUGCGCUCACGGAGCGGCCGAUGGCAGAUUAGGUAGUUGGUGGGAUAAAAGCUUACCAAGCCGACGAUCUGUAGCUGGUCUGAGAGGACGACCAGCCACACUGGGACUGAGACACGGCCCAGACUCCUACGGGAGGCAGCAGUGGGGAAUUUUGGACAAUGGGCGCAAGCCUGAUCCAGCCAUGCCGCGUGCAGGAUGAAGGCCUUCGGGUUGUAAACUGCUUUUGUACGGAACGAAAAGACUCUGGUUAAUACCUGGGGUCCAUGACGGUACCGUAAGAAUAAGCACCGGCUAACUACGUGCCAGCAGCCGCGGUAAUACGUAGGGUGCGAGCGUUAAUCGGAAUUACUGGGCGUAAAGCGUGCGCAGGCGGUUAUGUAAGACAGAUGUGAAUCCCCGGGCUCAACCUGGGAACUGCAUUUGUGACUGCGUAGCUAGAGUACGGCAGAGGGGGAUGGAUUCCGCGUGUAGCAGUGAAUGCGUAGAUAUGCGGAGGACACCGAUGGCGAA